CAGGACACCAGGAAUUUGUCCAUGAACACCCCAGAACAAAGCUUCCUUGGUUUAGUCAUAUUUGGAAGCGUCACCCAAGUUUUAGUCUCGGAAUUGUAAAGCUCAGCAGUGUUAAGAAUGUUGCCAUUAGAAUCACAACCACCAGCUAAAAUUGCUAUCUCCCCUUUACUAGCAGACCCAAACAAGCAUCUGGGAUCGUUCAUACUCACUCCAGGACACCAGGAAUUUGUCAAUAUACUAUAUCUAUAAGUGACAUGGGAAUUUAAAUCCUUACCAAAAACAAGAAGGUCAGUUCCCACUCCCAAGGAUUCUUUAUCCGAGCACAUGAAACAUUCAUUCGAAUCCAUCCUUGGCAAAUGCAUCCACCUGCGUUGAAUUGGAUCAAAAGCUUCCCACUCCAGAAGAUGGCAAGAGAAAUAAACCCAGUGCUCAAUCACACCGUUCAAACGCCUCAGUUUGUAAAGCUCUCCACUACGAAUUAACGAACGGAAACUUCGAUUCAAGGAUGCAAUCGAACCAUAAUCAGACCUGGAGCAGCGAAUUAAGCAAUUAAUAGAGUUGUCCCGACCAAUGGAAGAGAUCAGAGAACCGGAAUCAGAACUAUCCCCAGAAUCAGACUCAUCAUUUGGACGAUGAUCUCUUGAAGAUCGAGG
This 653-nucleotide unclassified non-coding RNA is filed under the name Hevea brasiliensis (rubber tree). The record is from RNAcentral. Lineage: Eukaryota; Viridiplantae; Streptophyta; Magnoliopsida; Malpighiales; Euphorbiaceae.